RNAcentral lists this ribosomal RNA (2426 nucleotides) under human gut metagenome. RNAcentral describes it as "eukaryotic LSU rRNA". It matches the Rfam family "Eukaryotic large subunit ribosomal RNA", at positions 1 to 2974 of the family's 3401-position model. The record is from RNAcentral.
CUUCCGAUCUGGAAAACCCACUGAACUGAAGCAUCUCAAUAAGUGGAGGAAAAUAAACUAACUAGGAUACUCUUAGUAAGUGCGACCGAAGAGAGUAAAGCUCAAUAAUCUAAACUUUAAAUUUUUAUAAUUUAAAGUCAUGUGAUUUUCUAAACUCAUUGAAAUUUUUAUAAAUUAUGAUUGAAUUCAUAACUAUAAAGAGUUAUAGUCUCGUUAUAUUGAAAUUUCAAGCAUGGGAAUUAGAAUUAAAGAGUCGGGUAGCUUGAGAAUGCUGCCUUAAUAUAGGUGGUACACCCCAUCUAAAGCUAAAUAUUGUAAAGAGACCGAUAGCAUACAAGUAGUGUGAACGAAAGAUGAAAAGAACUCCUAAACGGAGAAUUAAAAGCGCCUGAACUUGUCUAGGUUUUCGCAUUUCUUUAAUGCGCCCGUCUUGUAACACGGAUUAGGGAGUUUUACUUAAAUACGAGUCUUUAACUUUUAAAGUAAUUUUUUAAAAAAGGCGAAAAGAAAUUAACUGGUUUUUUAACAUGGCUAUAGAGUAUUUAAGUCAAAACCCGAAUGGAGGUGAACUAUUCCUGCAAAGAUUGAAGUCAGGGGAAACUCUGAUGGAAGAUCGUUGGCGUUAUUGAUGUGCAAAUCAUUUGCUUUAUGUAGGUAUAGGUGCGAAAGACUCAUCGAACCUCCUAAUAGCUGGUUUCCUCCGAAGUUUCCCUCAGGAUAGCUGUAACAUUUUUAAAUAGUUAAGGAUAGUAGAGAAAUGGGUAGAGGUGUAGUGGAACUACGGUUCUGCAACUUAUUUCCAAACUUCGAACGUUCUUGAUAUAAAAAAUUACCUAAUAGGAAUUUUUUAUUUAAAUAUAUGUUAUAAGUGGGCUCUGACCGGUAAGCGGUCAUGGCGAAAAGGGAUGAACCUAACGUAUAAAUAAGGUGCCUAAAUUUACUAACAAUGAAACCAUUAAAAGAGUCCAUGUAUUUAGACAGCGGGUCGGUGCCCCUAAAAGCAGGUAUCCGUUAAUGAGUGUGUUAAAACUCCCCCGCCGAAUACUCUGGCCUUGAAAAUGAAUGGCGCAUAUAGUAAUACCGAUAUUAUACAUUAAAAUUAUUUCAAAAUUUUAAAAGUAGGGGGAUGUGGAUAUCUUAGAGAAUUUUUAAUUGUAAAAUUGAAUUGAAAGAUAUCUAUUACAGAUCCUAAUUGAAGUAGCGAUUAUCCAGGUUAAUCUCCUGGGGGCUGAUGAGGAGUAGGGUUUCUGGGCAACUUAAACGGACCCAGAGUUAGUCGAUCCUAAUCAAAUUAAAUUUAGAGAAAGGGAAUAUGAAUGAUAUUUCAUAACUAAAAUUAAUUUUUAAAUGGUGACAUUUUUUUAAACUUAUUUCCAUCAAUUAAAUACUGUUUAAUAGGGAUUUCUUUCCUAUAUAACUUUUUAAUUAAAACUUAAGAAACAGGUUAACUGGAGAAUAAAGUUUUAAUUUAGUAAAAUUAUAAUUUCGAUUAUAAUAACGGCUAUUUAAAUGAUCCAUGAAACAAUAAGUUUAUUUUUUCAAAAAUUAAUUUAAUCGUACCGAUAACCGCAUCAGGUCUCCAAGGUGAGUAGCUUCUGGCCAUUGAGUAAUGGUAAUUUAGGGAAUUCGGCCAAUUAGAGCUGUAACUUCGGGAUAAAGCUUGGCUCUGAUGGAAAUCAGAACCGAUAGUUACAAGGAGAGCCCAACUGUUUAAUAAAAACUUAGUGUCGCGUCAUACCUUUAUAAGUAAUAAACGUGACAUGAAUCCUGCUCAGUGCUGUGUUUGUUAAACUGGAUUAAUCCAUUUAAGCGCCGGUAAAUAGCUGGGGUAACUAUGACUCUUAUCAAAGUAGCGAAAUACCUCGUCACUUAAUUAGUGACCUGCAUGAACGGAGCUAUGAGGUUCUCACUGUCCCAAAUUAUCACUCAGCGAACCAACAGUUGUGGGAACGGGCACAAAUUAUCCAGCGGGGAAAGAAGACCCUGUAGAGCUUCACUUUGGUCUAAUCUUGUAUAGUUUCGUUAGGGGUGCAGUCUAGGUGGGAGAUUUUUAAUCAAAUAUGAGAAACCACUACCCUUUCUGGAAUUAUACUUACUAAAAUUCUUUUCUAAAUUUUAGGAUCGGAUUAGAUAGAAAGUUUGGCUGGGGCGGCACACCUUCGAAAAAGCAGCGAAGGUGUCCUAAGUUAAGCUCAGUAAGGACAGAAAUCUUACGUUGAGGAUAAGGCCAAAAGCUUAAUUUACUGUGCCUUUUUGUACUAGGAUCAGUUUGGAAACAAAGGCCUAACGAUCCCUAAUUAGUCUUAGGUGUGUAAGACUUGGGGUGACAGACAAGUUACCUCCGGGACAACUGGCUUGUGGCUGCUAAGAGAUCAAAUCAACGCAGCUUUUUGAUUCUUCGAUGUCGGAGAUCGGAAGAGCGUCGU